UACAGAGGAUGCAAGCGUUAUCCGGAAUGAUUGGGCGUAAAGCGUCUGUAGGUGGCUUUUUAAGUCCGCCGUCAAAUCCCAGGGCUCAACUCUGGACAGGCGGUGGAAACUACCAAGCUGGAGUACGGUAGGGGCAGAGGGAAUUUCCGGUGGAGCGGUGAAAUGCGUAGAGAUCGGGAGGAACACCAGUGGCGAAGGCGGCUCUCUGGGCAGAUACUGACGCUGAGACGCGAAAGCAUGGGGAGCAAACAGG
Molecule: ribosomal RNA, 253 nt
Filed under: uncultured bacterium
Lineage: Bacteria
Description: partial 16S ribosomal RNA
Rfam family: Bacterial small subunit ribosomal RNA
Source: RNAcentral